Molecule: ribosomal RNA, 301 nt
Filed under: uncultured bacterium
Lineage: Bacteria
Description: partial 16S ribosomal RNA
Rfam family: Bacterial small subunit ribosomal RNA
Source: RNAcentral
CAGCCGCCGCGGGAAUACGGGGGGUGCAAGCGUUAAUCGGAAUUACUGGGCGUAAAGCGCACGUAGGCGGUUUGUUAAGUCAGAUGUGAAAUCCCCGAGCUUAACUUGGGAACUGCAUUUGAAACUGGCAAGCUAGAGUCUUGUAGAGGGGGGUAGAAUUCCAGGUGUAGCGGUGAAAUGCGUAGAGAUCUGGAGGAAUACCGGUGGCGAAGGCGGCCCCCUGGACAAAGACUGACGCUCAGGUGCGAAAGCGUGGGGAGCAAACAGGAUUAGAUACCCGCGUAGUCCCUGUCUCUUAUAC